UACGUAGGUGGCAAGCGUUGUCCGGAUUUACUGGGCGUAAAGAGCGCGCAGGCGGUCGGAUAAGUCGAAUGUGAAAGCCCCCGGCUCAACUGGGGAGGGUCAUUCGAUACUGUUCGACUCGAAGGCAGGAGAGGGAAGUGGAAUUCCCGGUGUAGUGGUGAAAUGCGUAGAUAUCGGGAGGAACACCAGUGGCGAAGGCGACUUCCUGGCCUGUUCUUGACGCUGAGGCGCGAAAGCCAGGGGAGCAAACAGG
RNAcentral lists this ribosomal RNA (253 nucleotides) under uncultured bacterium. RNAcentral's name for it is "partial 16S ribosomal RNA". It matches the Rfam family "Bacterial small subunit ribosomal RNA", at positions 524 to 776 of the family's 1533-position model. The record is from RNAcentral.